RNAcentral lists this ribosomal RNA (292 nucleotides) under uncultured bacterium. Its description in RNAcentral is "partial 16S ribosomal RNA". The record is from RNAcentral.
GGACUACAGGGGUAUCUAAUCCUGUUUGCUCCCCACGCUUUCGUGCCUCAGUGUUAGUAACAGACCAGGAAGUCGCCUUCGCCACUGGUGUUCCUUCCGAUAUCUACGCAUUUCACCGCUACACCGGAAAUUCCACUUCCCUCUUCUGCACUCUAGUCUUCCAGUCUUAAACGCAAUUCCUAGGUUAAGCCCAGGGAUUUCACAUCUAACUUAAAAAACCACCUACGCACCCUUUACGCCCAGUAAUUCCGAUUAACGCUUGCACCCUCUGUAUUACCGCGGCUGCUGGCAC